Molecule: ribosomal RNA, 441 nt
Filed under: uncultured bacterium
Lineage: Bacteria
Description: partial 16S ribosomal RNA
Rfam family: Bacterial small subunit ribosomal RNA
Source: RNAcentral
CCUACGGGAGGCAGCAGUGGGGAAUAUUGGGCAAUGGACGCAAGUCUGACCCAGCAACGCCGCGUGAAGGAAGAAGGCUUUCGGGUUGUAAACUUCUUUUAAGGGGGAAGAGCAGAAGACGGUACCCCUUGAAUAAGACACGGCUAACUACGUGCCAGCAGCCGCGGUAGUACGUAGGUGGCAAGCGUUGUCCGGAUUUACUGGGUGUAAGGGCGUGCAGCCGGAGAGACAAGUCAGAUGUGAAAUCCAGGGGCUCAACCCGUGAACUGCAUUUGAUACUGUUUCCCUUGAGUGUUGGAGAGGUAAUCGGAAUUACUGGUGUAGCGGUGAAAUGCGUAGAUAUAAGGAAGAACACCAGUGGCGAAGGCGGAUUACUGGACGAUAACUGACGGUGAGGCGCGAAAGCGUGGGGAGCAAACAGGAUUAGAUACCCCUGUAGUC